AGUGAACGCUGGCGGCGUGCUUAACACAUGCAAGUCGAACGAGAACGGAUUAUAGCUUGCUAUAAUUGUCAGCUAAGUGGCGCACGGGUGAGUAAUGUAUAGGUAAUAUGCCUCUUACUAAGGGAUAACAAAUGGAAACGUUUGCUAAUACCUUAUACUCCUUAUUAACAUAAGUUAAUAAGGGAAAGAUUUAUUGGUAAGGGAUUAGCCUGUAUUGUAUCAGUUAGUUGGUGGGGUAAUGGCUUACCAAGACUAUGACACAUAACUGGUUUGAGGGGAUGGUCAGUGACACUGGAACGGAGACACGGUCCAGACUCCUACGGGAGGGAGCAGUGGGGAAUGGUGCACAGUGGACGGAAGGAUGAAGCAGCAACGCCGGGAAGAGGAUGACACCUUUCAGUGCGUAAACUCCUUUUAUAUGAGAAGAUAAUGACGGUAUUAUAUGAAUAAGCACCGGCUAACUCCGUGCCAGCCGCCGCCGUAA
RNAcentral lists this ribosomal RNA (484 nucleotides) under uncultured bacterium. RNAcentral describes it as "partial 16S ribosomal RNA". It matches the Rfam family "Bacterial small subunit ribosomal RNA", at positions 29 to 523 of the family's 1533-position model. The record is from RNAcentral.